AGCAGUAGCCGCGGUAAUACGGAGGGAGCUAGCGUUGUUCGGAAUUACUGGGCGUAAAGCGCGCGUAGGCGGUUACUCAAGUCAGAGGUGAAAGCCCGGGGCUUAACCCCGGAACUGCCUUUGAAACUAGGUGACUAGAAUCUUGGAGAGGUCAGUGGAAUUCCGAGUGUAGAGGUGAAAUUCGUAGAUAUUCGGAAGAACACCAGUGGCGAAGGCGACUGACUGGACAAGUAUUGACGCUGAGGUGCGAAAGCGUGGGGAGCAAACAGGAUUAGAUACCCCAGUAGUCCCUGUCUCUUAUAC
RNAcentral lists this ribosomal RNA (303 nucleotides) under uncultured bacterium. Its description in RNAcentral is "partial 16S ribosomal RNA". It matches the Rfam family "Bacterial small subunit ribosomal RNA", at positions 507 to 807 of the family's 1533-position model. The record is from RNAcentral.